CCAUCCGAAAUUUGUGAUUGA
RNAcentral lists this microRNA (21 nucleotides) under Caenorhabditis briggsae. Its description in RNAcentral is "cbr-miR-7583a-3p". Lineage: Eukaryota; Metazoa; Nematoda; Chromadorea; Rhabditida; Rhabditidae. The record is from miRBase by way of RNAcentral.